GGUCACUUGCCGUUGUGUGUAAUAUUUUAGUAUCGCCGUUUAUUAGUCGUAAAUAUAACUUUUCAUUAGACGGCUCGCAAGCUGACGUCACUUUUGUUCCUUGAAGUGAAGCGGAAUAAACCUUGAGAAAGAGUCUCCUUCAAUCUGCUGUUAGUAACUAACACACACACUCACUCACACCGAGACUCAAUUACUGCCCAAUUCCCUUCUUUAUCAUCUCUUGCUACCGGCCUCCAACAACAACGCCAAAUCGAGAAGGAAAAAAAGAAAUAUUACUUGAAAUAAUACUUGAAGCUGAGUCGAGCGGGGAAAUACGUAGAAGUGUCCCAACUAAGGAAUAAAAAGCACAAGCAUCGGGACUUGGUCCUCCACGAAAGGAUAACUGGCAACUGCACAAAACUGUUUGCCGAGCAGUGAUGUCACAGAGCUGAAUACAC
Long non-coding RNA from Megalops cyprinoides (Indo-Pacific tarpon), 437 nucleotides. RefSeq lists it as uncharacterized. The transcript has 3 exons. Lineage: Eukaryota; Metazoa; Chordata; Actinopteri; Elopiformes; Megalopidae. The record is from RefSeq and is a predicted model, not a curated record.